Molecule: long non-coding RNA, 747 nt
Organism: Wasmannia auropunctata (little fire ant)
Lineage: Eukaryota; Metazoa; Arthropoda; Insecta; Hymenoptera; Formicidae
Exons: 3
Source: RefSeq, a predicted model, not a curated record
AGAAAGUAUCGAUCGUGAUAUCGCUACGAUUCGUUGUCCAUCAUAAUGAAGAUAAGUCUUGACGACUAUGGAGAAAUAAUUGCCCCAUUACUAUGGAAUUAGACGCAAAGAAAUGUGUCUGAUACAACAAAAUGUUUCGUGCUCUUACGGAUGCUAAUGAGGACGAAUGUCAAGAUAAAUAAAUAAUCCGUUGUUUUAUUAACAAGUACAGAAGAAGUCAAAUUUUAAAACUUGCUGUAGAACACAUCUAAAUAUCUUGCCACUGCGGUUAUUGCCCUAUUGCAGAAGAGCAAGAAAAAAGAGCAUUUAAACCCUUUCAAUUGGGGCGAUUUAGUGGCAGGCCACUACAUCGAAGAUGGUACGCGUUGGAUAGGCAGAGAGGAGGCGGGGUUAUAUAUACGCGACCCCCAAUUCGCUUGAACACCUAGAGUAACCCCUCGCACCCUCGCACUCUGGGGUCCUUCGAUGAAUUCACCGAUCCUCGGUCUGUAGCGCCAUCACUAUCGCGCGUAAGGUGUUUCACAGAUCAUGAAGAGAAUACAAAUUUCAAGUCAAUUUCUUAAAUUAUUUAUUUAUAUUAUGUAAUAUAUUUCAAAUUACUUCGUAAUAUAUUGCGCAACUGCGUCUUUUUCGAUAUGCCUCGAGAUCACUUUAAUUAAGAUGACGCAAAUUAUGGGAAAGAUUUUUCACAGCGCGAUUAGAAAAGAGAAAAGGUAUCAAGCCAUGAGAAUAAAUUUCCCAAAGAAU